Molecule: ribosomal RNA, 3022 nt
Filed under: Nitrospira sp.
Lineage: Bacteria; Pseudomonadati; Nitrospirota; Nitrospiria; Nitrospirales; Nitrospiraceae
Description: 23S ribosomal RNA
Rfam family: Bacterial large subunit ribosomal RNA
Source: RNAcentral
AAGUGAUUGUUAAGCUACUAAGGGUGUACGGUGAAUGCCCUGGCAUCAGCAGGCGAUGAAGGACGUAGCUAGCUGCGAUAAGCCGCGGGAAGCCGCAAGCAGGCCGUGAUCCGCGGAUGUCCGAAUGGGGAAACCCAGGCGAUGAAUGCCGCCUAUCCGCUUCUGAAUCCAUAGGAAGCGAGAAGCCCACGCAGGGAAGUGAAACAUCUCAGUACCUGCAGGAAUAGAAAUCAAUCGAGAUUCCCCCAGUAGUGGCGAGCGAAAAGGGAAUAGCCUAAACCAUAGUGAUGUCAAGCCCGUGUGCGUUGUCGCUGUGGUGUCGUAGGGCUUCGUCUGACGGCGAUACGGCGCCGUCGGCAAGUCAAAAAUUAGGAUCUUAGUCGAACGGUCUGGAAAGGCCGGCCAAAGAAGGUGACAGCCCUGUAGGCGACAAGACCCUAACUUGCUGGACGGAGUUCCUGAGUACCACGGGGCUCGAGCAACCCUGUGGGAAUCCGGGACGACCACGUUCCAAGGCUAAAUACUCGCUGAUGACCGAUAGCGUACCAGUACCGUGAGGGAAAGGUGAAAAGAACCCCGGUGAGGGGAGUGAAAUAGAACCUGAAACCGUAUACCUACAAGCAGCGAAAGGGCUAUGCCCGCAAGGGAAUGCCUGAUCGCGUGCCUUUUGCUUAAUGAGCCUGCGAGUUAUCCUGCGUAGCAAGGUUAAGGCGGAAAGCCGGAGCCGUAGCGAAAGCGAGUCCGAAUUGGGCAUGUAGUUGCGUAGGAUAGACCCGAAGCGAAGUGAUCUACCCAUGGCCAAGGCGAAUCCGCCGUAACAGGCGGAGGAGGCCUGAACUGAUGUUUGUUGCAAAAAGCUCGGAUGAGCUGUGGGUAGGGGUGAAAGGCUAAACAAACUUCGUGAUUGCUGGUUCUCCCCGAAAUGUCUAGAGGGACAGCCUCGUGUCAGCCGUAACGGAGGUAGAGCACUGAAUGGGCUAGGGGCGUUCCAACGCUACUGAACCCAAUCAAACUCCGAAUGCCGUUACUGGACGCACGGGAGUGAGACUACGAGUGCUAAGAUCCGUGGUCAAAAGGGAAAUAGCCCAGACCGUCAGCUAAGGUCCCUAAGCGCAAGCUAAGUGGGAAAGGUUGUAACGUCGCUCAGACAGCCAGGAGGUUGGCUUAGAAGCAGCCAUCCUUUAAAGAGUGCGUAAUAGCUCACUGGUCGAGCGAUGGUGCGCCGAAAAUUUAUCGGGGCUCAAGUUUGCCACCGAAGCUACGGACUUUCCUCGCAAGAGGUGAGUGGUAGGGGAGCAUUCUCUGUGCAGUGAAGGUUGACCGACAAGGACAGCUGGAGCGCAGAGAAGAGAUUAUGCAGGCAUAAGUAGCGAUAAUUGAUGUGAGAAUCAUCAACCCCGUAAGCCUAAGGUUUCCUGGCCUAUGUUCGUCAGGUCAGGGUGAGUCGGAUCCUAAGCCGAGGCCGAGAGGCGUAGGCGAUGGUAAACAGGUCAAUAUUCCUGUACCACAGUGGUGGCGUUAUCAGCGAAGGGGGGGGGCAGAAGGGUAGGCACCGCCGGGUCCCUGGAAUACCCGGUCUAAGCGCGUAGGCGGGUCUUGCCGGUAAAUCCGCAAGACCGUUAUCGCCGAGACGUGAUGGGGAGGCCGUAAGGCCACAAACGGGCUGAUCCCAUGCUGACGAGAAAAGCCUCGUAGCGAGUCAUCAUUGUGUCCGUACCGCAAACCGACACAGGUAGGUGGGUGGAAUACACCAAGGGGCGUGAGAGAACACUUCCUAAGGAACUUUGCAAUUUAGCCCCGUAACUUCGGGAGAAGGGGUGCCACGCAUAGGUGAGUCUGUACAAGGUAAGCCGAACGUGGUUGCAAUAAAGUGGCUCUAGCGACUGUUUACCAAAAACACAGGACUCUGCGAACACGCAAGUGGACGUAUAGGGUCUGACGCCUGCCCGGUGCUGGAAGGUUAACCGGAGGAGUUAGCCGCAAGGCGACGCUUUGAAGGGAAGCCCCAGUAAACGGCGGCCGUAACUAUAACGGUCCUAAGGUAGCGAAAUUCCUUGUCGGGUAAGUUCCGACCUGCAUGAAUGGCGUAACGACUGGAGCGCUGUCUCGGGAAGUGACUCAGCGAAUUUGUUGUUCCGGUGAAGAAGCCGGGUGCCCGCAACUAGACGGAAAGACCCUGUGCACCUUUACUACAACUUGACAUUGGAUGUUGGAAGGGGCUGUGUAGGAUAGGUGGGAGCCUGCGAAGCGUGGCCGCUAGGUCGCGUGGAGGCGUCCUUGAAAUACCACCCUGACCGUUCUGAUAUUCUAACUCGGCCCUGUCAUCCAGGGCGAAGACAGUGUCUGGUGGGUAGUUUGACUGGGGCGGUCGCCUCCCAAAAGGUAACGGAGGCGUUCAAAGGUUCCCUCAGGCUGGUCGGUAAUCAGCCGUCGAGUGCAAAGGCAGAAGGGAGCUUGACUGCGAGAGCGACAGCUCGAGCAGAGACGAAAGUCGGACUUAGUGAUCCGGUGGUUCUGUGUGGAAGGGCCAUCGCUCAACGGAUAAAAGGUACGCCGGGGAUAACAGGCUGAUCUCCCCCAAGAGUUCACAUCGACGGGGAGGUUUGGCACCUCGAUGUCGACUCAUCGCAUCCUGGGGCUGAAGCUGGUCCCAAGGGUUAGGCUGUUCGCCUAUUAAAGCGGUACGAGAGUUGGGUUCAGAACGUCGUGAGACAGUUCGGUCCCUAUCUGUUGUGGGCGGAGGAGAGUUGAGAGGGGCUUUCACUAGUACGAGAGGACUGUGAAGGACGGACCUCUAGUGUGCCGGUUGUCGCGCCAGCGGCAGUGCCGGGUAGCUAUGUCCGGUGGCGAUAAUCGCUGAAAGCAUCUAAGCGAGAAGCGUGCCUCAAGAUAAGCUCUCCCGGGGCGUAAGCCCCCUAAAGACCACUCGUAGACGACGAGUUUGAUAGGCUGGGUGUGGAAGGCUCGUAAGGGCUGUAGCUAACCAGUACUAAUCGGUCGUGCGGUUUAACAUCCUUUGCUC